CUAAAUAGGAUUCCCUUAGUAAUGGCGAACGAACCAGGGAUGAGCUCGGCUUGGAAACUGGGGCCUCGGCCUUGGAUUGUAGCCUCUAGACAUAGUGCCAACGGAGGCGCAGGUGCAAGCCUCUUGGAAAAGAGCAUCAAUGUGGGUGAGAAUCCUGUGUUUCACUUGCAGUCCACCGUGCACGGCACAUGUUCUCAGAGUCGCGUUCCUCGGAAUUGGAGCGUAAAGUGGGUGGUAAAUUUCAUCUAAAGCUAAAUAUAGGCUUGAGACCGAUAGCAAACAAGUACCAUGAGGGAAAGAUGAAAAGGACUUUGAAAAGAGAGUUAAAAGUGCUUGAAAUCGCUGAAAGGGAAGCGAAUGGAACCAGUCUUCUGGCUGAGAUUGUUGCGUGCUACUGUGAUGCCUGGCUGCUUCAACGCAAGUGUGGCAGUUAGAGUUGAUCAGCUGUGCGUGAUGUUUCUCAGCUUGUUAGUCAACCUUUGUUCGUGCUUGGGGAUAACUGCGGGUUCCAUGUUCUUCUCUGCGGAGUUGAGCUCGUGCCUGUAAGGACUCAGGUGUGUACAAUUGGUGACAAAAUGGUUCUCUUCGACCCGUCUUGAAACACGGACCAAGGAGUCUAGCACAUGUGCAAGUUCACAGGUGGCAAGCCUGCUUGCGCAAUGAAGGUGACUGUCUGGGAUAUUUGCACCAGCAUCCGACCAAUCCCUCGAG
RNAcentral lists this ribosomal RNA (711 nucleotides) under Pelagodinium bei. RNAcentral's name for it is "eukaryotic LSU rRNA". It matches the Rfam family "Eukaryotic large subunit ribosomal RNA", at positions 65 to 781 of the family's 3401-position model. Lineage: Eukaryota; Dinophyceae; Suessiales; Suessiaceae. The record is from RNAcentral.